GCACUGUUGACGAGUCCCAAAUCGGACGAAGCAGCUGCCCAGUGC
Molecule: non-coding RNA, 45 nt
Filed under: Echinostoma caproni
Lineage: Eukaryota; Metazoa; Platyhelminthes; Trematoda; Plagiorchiida; Echinostomatidae
Source: RNAcentral